GGCGGACGGGUGAGUAACGCGUAGGAAUCUACCCAGUAGCGGGGGAUAGCCCGGAGAAAUCCGGAUUAAUACCGCAUACGCCCUACGGGGGAAAGCGGGGGACCUUUUCGAAGGCCUCGCACUAUUGGAUGAGCCUGCGUUGGGUUAGCUAGUUGGUGGGGUAAAGGCUCUCCAAGGCGACGAUCCAUAGCUGGUCUGAGAGGAUGAUCAGCCACACUGGGACUGAGACACGGCCCAG
Molecule: ribosomal RNA, 238 nt
Filed under: uncultured bacterium
Lineage: Bacteria
Description: partial 16S ribosomal RNA
Rfam family: Bacterial small subunit ribosomal RNA
Source: RNAcentral